RNAcentral lists this transfer RNA (72 nucleotides) under Ovis aries (sheep). It matches the Rfam family "tRNA". Rfam says of the family: Transfer RNA (tRNA) molecules are approximately 80 nucleotides in length. Their secondary structure includes four short double-helical elements and three loops (D, anti-codon, and T loops). The record is from Rfam by way of RNAcentral. Lineage: Eukaryota; Metazoa; Chordata; Mammalia; Artiodactyla; Bovidae.
UCCCUGGUAGCUCAGAUGGUAAAGAAUCUGCCUGCAAUGCAGGAGACCCGGGUUCGAUCCCUGGGUCGGGAA